UAGAAUAGGAUACGAGUGACAUGUCACUAGGAAUUAUGAGUCUAGAUGACUAACUCGAGAGUGAGCAUUGAAACGUCAUGAGAUAUGAGGUAGCUUUAGCUACAAUUGAGGCACUUAUGUGCAAAGGCUUUUCCGAGUAUCCAAUUAGUAUUCCAAGUGUUCAACGGGUAAUCCAAGGAAAGAGUUGAUGAUGGUCCCAACGAGGUAAGUCAUUGGUGAGUAUACACUUGAGUUAUGUUACGAGUUGUGCAAGUAUGUAUAUUAAGCCUAUGAGAAUGCCUUGAUAUGUGAUGAUCUAUGAUGCAUAAUAUGUGUUCUUACCAUGAUGGAUGAAAUGAUGUUGUAUUAAUUUUGUGAACAAUGAUCAUGAAUGAGUAACUUAGCCUUGACAGAUUUGAGUUACUGUAGUAAUGUAACUUUGAAAAUACACUAAAAAUAGUGGAAAAUUAGUUAGAGGCAGAAUAAAAUAUGAGAUUAAAGCUUAAUGAGUCUAUUUUCACAUGAAAGAAACAGAGGAAGAAAAAGAAUUCUAUAUUGUGUGAUAUUUGAAUUCUUGUAAAACAGGGUCUGAAUGAAUUCGAGAUCCCCUGUUCUAACUUUAGAAAUUCAUCAUAAAUUGUAAAAAAAUUAUUAAGAGUCAUACCUUACUUGCAUGGAUUCCUUAUUGAGUCUAUUUUUAAGGGAAAAAAUGGCAUCGUCGUUGGAAUUUUGUACAGGGAGAAAUUCGGUUUGUAGUGCACAAGGGUCAGAGUGGUCAUACCCUGAAACAAGAGAGACUUUAACUAAUAAACUGUACUAAAUGGCUUGACCAAAAAUUCUAGAAAAAAAUUAGUAAGUAUACAUAUGAGUAUAGUUUCAUGAUAAAUAGACGAGAACAUUAUUCGAAUCCUGUACUAUGAGAUAAUUGAACUUUAGUGCAGAAGGGUUGAAACUGUCAGACAGUGAAUCAGGAGCAAACUUGAGGAAUAAACUGUACUAAUUGGCUAAGUCAAAAAUUCUGGAAAUUUUAUGAAAGAAAGAUAAAUGAGUCUAGUUUCAUGGAAAAUUAACGGAACUUAAUUUGGAGUUUCGUAGCUCCAGAUAUAAAUAAUUUAGUGACUAUUGCUCAGGUAGACAGCUUGCAGUGAACUUGAGAAUAUGUUGUAAACAUUGAUAAAACAAGUUAAUGAGUUGCUUAUUGUUUUCAUAUGAACUUACUAAGCGAAAGCUUACCCCCCUUUCUUUCCCAUGUUUUCUAGAGUUUCCAGGUUAGCUCGGGUUGAAGGCCGUUAGAGAUAUUAUCACACUGUCGAGUUAACGCUAUCGGCGUAAGUAAACUCAAGUGAUUCUAGUCUAUGGCAUGUAUAGGGUUUUAAUGGGAGUAUGUAAUAUUAUGAUUUAGCCAAAGGCAUUGGCUUGUUAUUAAGGUGGUAUUAGUCAUGUAAAUUGGCCUAUGUCGGCUAAUAUCGUUAUGGGCCCAUAUGAUUAUUCUUAUGCAUGUAUGUUAUUAUCUCUUGUGAUGUGGCUUACAACAUGUAUGCCUAGAGAUUGAAUUGAGAUUCAUUGAUGAGCUAAUAACUAAUGCAGGAUUAAGUGAUUGGUAAAUAGUUAAUAAUGCUUCAUGAAUGGUUUGUGGAUAUGAUUAUUUAUGCUUUGUGAUGGACAUGAGGUUUGAUGACAUGUUGAUAGCUAUAGCAUUAAUAUGGUAAAGAUGAAAGAAAAACUUAUUGUAAUGGUUGCAUGUGAAAUUACCAUGGUCAUGUCAUGUUAGGAAGGUUUAAGUGCCUAAUUUUGCCAUGUUGUAUGCUAUUGUAUAAGUAUGCGUGCAUGUGUUGUGAGUGUGACAAAAUGGCUUGGAAAAUAGCCUUGUAUUUGUCCAGGUUUUGGACAUGGGUUCGGGACACGGGCGUGUUCUUAGCACCCGAGCGUGUGUUCUAUACCUACACGGGCGUGUGGAGCCUUGAUACAAGAGAUUUCCUAAGUUUUUCAUGAGUUCUCGGUUGGGUCCCGAACCAUCCCGAAUGCAUGUAUUGGGCCUCGUAAGCUCGCAUAAAGGACAGAUUGCAUGAGAAAAGAAAAGUUUUUAAUUAUUUGAGAUUUCAUGGCCCUGUUUAGUAUGGAAGUGUUAGUAAAAGUCAGGUAGCACCUCGAACCCCGUCCAGGCGUCGAAUGCGGGCGAGGGGUGUUACAUUUAGUGGUAUCAGAGCAUGGUUUAGUCGAUUCUUGGACUAAUCUAACGUAAGAGAGUCUAGCUAUACAUGCCAUAGUAUUACUCGUGAUAGUGUGAUAUCUCUCGGCCCUAACAAAACUGCUGGUUAAGACAGGAAUGAAUUCGAACCGAGCAAAUCUUGAUAAAGAUAAGAGUAAAGUUGAGAUUAUUGAAUCAUGCUUGUGACAUGCUGAAAAUGGGAAAGGUAUGAAAAGAUAUUCAUGAUUUUCAUAUGAACUAGUAUUCACUAUGUGAUACUCUUGAGUUAAAGAAUGUGAAAUAGUGGAGUAAAACACAGUUAAGUUGUGAAAAACAUUUUUAUGCAUGUUAGUAUUCAUACGAUGUUAAAUGUCCAACUUGAUUUGGCCAAGUGUUUAUGAAAAGAAAGAAAUUUGCUUGAAGUGACAGAGUGUAUGUAUGAAUGCUUUAAUUGCAUGAUUAGUAAUCAGUAUAUACAUGAGGUUGACAUUUUUGUCUAGAUUAAUAAAGUCAAGAUGCCGAAAUGUUAUGCCUUAUAAUCUUACUUAUAGAAUCAUAAAUGUCACAAUAGCAUGAAAGUUGUAAUGAAAGAUCAAAUUGGGUGGAACGCAGGGAAUGUGUACGAUCGUUCACUAAUGAAUUGACGGAAAAGACUAUGGUUGGACCGUGGCAAUACAUGAGAUUUGUGUGCCAGUGUAAGACCAUGUCUGGGACAUGGCAUCGGCAUUGAGAAGAGGGCUAGUGUAAGACAUGUCUAGGACAUGCAUCAGCCACAGUAUGAGAGCCAGUGUAAGACAUGUCUGAGACAUGCAUCGGCCUCGAGAUGUUAGCCAGUGUCAGACAUGUCUGGGACAUGCGUCGGCUACGAGAUGUGCUAGUGUAAGACAUGUCUGGGACAUGCGUCAGCACGGUUACAUGUGUCAGUAUAAGACCUAUCUGGGACACAGCAUCGACACAGAUGGAUGAGAGCUAGUACAAGACCAUAGUUGAACUAUGGCAUCAAGUAAACGAUGUACUCAAAAUUGUAAGACGUUCUCCAAUUUGAUAAAUAUUGGCAAGUGAUUAAGACUAAAUAUGAGAAUUUGAUAAAACAUUAAGGGUAAUUUGAGAAAAAGAAAUGAAAGUUUGAGUUAUGAUAAAUUCACUUAUGUUUAGCUAAUAUUCGCAUGAAAUAAAGUUACAUGUAUUACUGAGAUAUGUGAAAAUGUAUUUAAAACAAGUUGGAAAUUUGAAAUGUUUGAAUCAAUAUGCGUAAAGCUAUGUUGUUGUUGAAUAUGUAUUUGCUUGAGAGUCAAAAGUUUAGAGGAUUUACAAUCUUCGCCCCCUUACCAGAAUAGAGUUAUACGAUGAGAUUCUCGAGAGAUAUGUUGCAUAAGCUUGCAAAAGUGAAACUGAAGAGUACAAAAAUGGAAUAGUAUGAGAUUAGCAAAGAUAGAAUUAGUUAGAGGAAUAAUGUCGGACUUGCACAGAUGUCUGAGUAUGACGAAUUCAAUUAAACAAAAGUGAUGGCUAUCUUUCUCUUCUGAGUAUUCUAUGUUUUCCUCUAUUCUGGGGAAUACGUAUGGUUAUCCCUUUCGACUGAGAAUUCUAUUGUGUGAGGAUGCUAGUGACUAUGAUAUUAGAUGAAAAGUUCUAUUGGUCCAGUUAGUUAUGAUCUACAUUUCCUCAUCUCUUCAGAUUUCUAUUCUGAUAUAUUGGAAUGAAGUUGACAGUAAAAAUCUAUGUAAGAUUAUUCUGAUGUUCUAUUGAUUAUGGUUUAUAUAUGCGAGAAUUAUAUUAUCUCUGUUACGAGAAAUUCUAGAGCGUACAGACAGUAGUUUCUUUCUGGUUUUCUCUGAGGGAUUUUCCGGAUCAUCUUCAUUAUUUUCUUCUGGAUUAUAUUCUCGGAUUUCUGGUAUAGUCUUUAUAUCUUGGAAUUUCUUAUAUUGAUUUUUCUCUCGUUCUUGUUUCGAGAAUUAUCAAGCUUGGUUUAUUUUUACAAGUAAUCUUUGACUUGCGAUAUUAGAAUCUGUUAUGAUUAAGCUUCUGGCUCGACCAUAAAAGUGUGGGGAUUUCAGUAUCGAGAUUUCUUUAAAAUCUUGGGGAAAUGAAUGGUUAUUCUGCAAAAGUAAAUCUGAGUUAUGUGCAUUUAAGUUUAUUCUCUGGUUCGAGAAUACCAUUACAUGUUCUUUGGUAAGUAGUCGUACAGUCAGAAAUGAUGGGGUUUUAUUCUUGAAAGUAUGUUAUGGAAACAUAUUAGUUGGAUUUUUCUUGUCCGAGAGAUGUUAUAAGUAUAGUUAUCCUGAUUAGUAAAGAGACCACAUCUAUGAAGUUGGAAUCAUUUGAUUCAUGUUAGUGAAGUUUCUAAACAGUUGAUGAUAAGAGUAUAGAAAUGUGGCUAUAAGUGGUAAAUUAAACAAGUACAGCAUGAUUCGACUUUUAAUUUGGAAUUGCAAGGAAGAUUUGAUUUCUGGUUUCUGUUACUAUUAUUUCAGAGUAAGAUUAGGGUACUGAGAAACUCCAGGCUAUGCAGAGAAGUGUGUACAGAGUUCACAGCAGUCUUUUGUUUAUUCUUCCAAAGGAUGUUAAAUUGACUACCGGGGAAAGCCGAUUAUCAGAUAUAUUCAAGAUUAUAAUUGUCAAUGCUGACAUUGAAAGAGAAAAUUGAGAAAUGAUUAGUAUGAAUUUUGUAUCGGGAUGUCUCUCUUCUCCGGGAAAUAAGAGAUACCAUAAUGGAUUGUGAUAGAUUGAUGAUAGUAGUCCGUAUGACUAUUUUGGUAUAUACAGAGCUAUUGUUAUACGGAUUGGGACGAGUUGUGUUUCUAAGCUUAUAGUUCUUAGAAUGUCAGUUUUCAGUAUUUCGAAUUGAGCCGAGAAUUUUAUGGUAAUUGUGGAAAGGUUACAGAAAUCCUGAGUAUCAGCUUCAGCUCAGUUGUUUUGUAAGUUUUGAGAAAAAGAUAUAAGUGACUCGUGAAAGUAGAGAGCAACUUUUUUUGGUAAGAUUUUCGGGGACGAAAAUCCCUAAAGGGGGGAAGAAAUGUAACAGCCCGAUUUUGGGCCUAGUCGGAACAGUGGUUUCGGGACCACUAUUUCGAGGCUAGAUAAAAUUAUUUUAGUAUUAUUUUAUGUGUUAUAAUAUAAUUUUAUAAGUGCAUGUAAAUUUUGGUAAGUUAAUUUUAGCAAUUUCUAGUCCAAUUCCGAAAAAGGACUAAAUCGCGUAAAAGGUAAAAGUUGUGUUUUAAUACCUAAAGGUGUGUUAAAUUGCCUUGUAUCUUAAAUUGGGGGUCUUUAAAGUGAAAUUAGGCCAUUGAAAGUGUGAUGGCCGGCCAUGGGAGACAAAAUUGUUGAAAAGUCAAAAUUAGGUGAAAUUUGGUCACCAAUUUUGACUAGUUUUAUUAUUAACAAAUCAAAAAGAAAAAGCUAUCAUUUUUCUCUUCUCCUUCACCGAAAUAUGCAGCAAAGAAAGGGUUUUGAAGCUGGAAAAUUUCAGCAACAUAUUUCCCUUGCUUGUAAGUGAUUUUAAUGUCUUUGCUUGAUGAUUUUUACAUUUUUGGAACCCCUAAAGCAUGAGCUUUCAUAAGAGGGGACUAUUUUGCAAAAUGAUGAAGAGUCUAGGGUUUUGCCAUGAGAGUAAAUGUGUUGUUUGCUGUGUUUUUAUGGAAGAUUAUGAGUCCUAGUUGUCUAAUAAACAACUUUUGUGAAAGAAAUUACAUGAAAACACCUUAAAAAAGGGCUAGAUUGCUAAGUUGUAAAAUAAGUUGUAAUGUGUAAAAUAGUUAAAAUUAUGAGUUGCUAUAGUUAUGAAAAUGGUUCAUCUAGACUCAAGGAGUAAAGAAAUGUGAUAAAAAUUAUUUACGAGCAUUGAGGCAAAAGUGCAAAUAUGCAAAAGUUUAGGGGUCAAAAUGAAAAUUUGUAAAAAUAUGAUUUUUAUACCCAUAUGAAUAUUGUGACUGAUUGGUAGGCUAAAUGUGAUAUUAUAGAUCAAGAAAAUCGAGAUUUGGACCUAGAACAGAAAGAAAUCGAUUAAGGGAUGAUUAUGUCCUUUUCACCUUUGUGGUAUCGAGGUAAGUUUGUAUGUAAACAAUACCAUGCUAUACAUGUAUUUAAAUGUUAUCAUUACAUGAAUUGUACAGAUGUUAAGUGUAUGUGAUUAAUAGAAAUAUGAUAAGACAAAGCCUUAAUAGACGAGGAAAAAUCCCGUUUGAACCUUAGAAAUAGAAUAGGAUACGAGUGACAUGUCACUAGGAAUUAUGAGUCUAGAUGACUAGCUCGAGAGUGAGCAUUGAAACGUCAUGAGAUAUGAGGUAGCUUUAGCUACAAUUGAGGCACUUAUGUGUAAAGGCUUUUCCGAGUAUCCAAUUAGUAUUCCAAGUGUUCAACGGGUAAUCCAAGGAAAGAGUUGAUGAUGGUCCCAACGAGGUAAGUCAUUGGUGAGUAUACACUUGAGUUAUGUUACGAGUUGUGCAAGUAUGUAUAUUAAGCCUAUGAGAAUGCCUUGAUAUGUGAUGAUCUAUGAUGCAUAAUAUGUGUUCUUACCAUGAUGGAUGAAAUGAUGUUGUAUUAAUUUUGUGAACAAUGA
RNAcentral lists this long non-coding RNA (6725 nucleotides) under Gossypium barbadense (sea-island cotton). RNAcentral's name for it is "long non-coding RNA (GBAR_LNC008380)". The record is from RNAcentral. Lineage: Eukaryota; Viridiplantae; Streptophyta; Magnoliopsida; Malvales; Malvaceae.